Long non-coding RNA from Oreochromis niloticus (Nile tilapia), 5428 nucleotides. RefSeq lists it as uncharacterized. The transcript is spliced from 4 exons. The record is from RefSeq and is a predicted model, not a curated record. NCBI's taxonomy places the organism in Eukaryota, Metazoa, Chordata, Actinopteri, Cichliformes, Cichlidae.
UUACCACAGUUUUUGUUGCCUUAUGGUUCCAAGCGCUUUCCCCAGUCUUUGCAUUUUGUUAUUAUCUCAUAACACUUGUUUAAUCAGCGACCAUCUCUCCUAUGGACGUUUUCCUGUCUACAGUCCCAGAUCAACACAGCCCUGCCCUCCAGCACUAUCAGCAGCGGGAGCAGCAGAAACCCCUCAACAGCAACAUUUUACCCCACCAGCACCCGCCCAGUCACCGUGAGGGAGAAGCUGUGCACCUGAGACAUCGAGCUUCUGGUUGUUUCCCUGUGCCCCUACUACCUCCUCAGAGAAUUCCCACAGCUUUUCAUCAUCUUGGCCCUGACAACAUCAGCAGUGGAGUCCUGAGGCACUGUGCAGGGCAACUAGGAAGUGUGUUCCGGACUCACUGUUAGGAUCCACUGAUUUAGUCACUGAUCAACCUUCAGUCACGUAGGAGGUCAGAGCUUCAUGUUUAUGGGAUUAAUGUGCAGUUUUAUUGAAUCUGUAUUUAUCUGUAAACAGGGUUCAUACGGGUGCUUGAAAUAUGUGAUGUUUGGUGCAGUUUUCCUGUUUUGUGGGGGAAGAAAUGCUUUUUAAGUCAACCUAAGAUGAUUCGUUUUCAUUUUCACAUGGUCUUAGUGAGGUGAUGCAAAGUGAAACAUGCUUUCUGUUUGUUUGUUUUUUCGGCCAUGUGCUGGGAAAGCUUGAACAUGGACCUUGAAAGUGCUUAAAAAGUGCUUGAAUUCGAGCCAGAAAAAGGCGUAUGAACCCUUGAUUGGGAGGUAUAUAAUAUUAAAAUUGAAAUAUUAUAUAAUAUCAAAAACAUAUUUUUAAACAUUCUUUGAAUCAAAUGUGUUUAAAAGAAUGUUUGUCUUUGAAUCCAAAUAUAAACAAUUGAAGGGCAGCUCAACACUUUUGCACAUUACUGUGUCCUGUUGAAGGAAAUACUGACAGGUGUUUGCUUCAUACAUGGAUUACAGAAGGAAAGAAAAGAGAAGAGACUUUUUAAAAAUCGGUUUCAGGUUAGAGGGUAACCGCUGUGCCGUCUGGGCUCACCAAAAUUUUUUUAGAUCAGACUGCGUAGUUGUGAACUGAGUUUUGUAACUUUGUGUUUAGCAUUAAGUGUUGUGUUGCUGAUGAAAGUCCUGCUGGCAGAAAUGACCUUCAGUCAGAAAGGUUGAUGGUCUGGAUGAAGGAUCACAAACACGUGAUUGCAGUUCCUGCUGCAGAGGGUGGAACAACCAGUUAUUAGGUUUAGGAGGCAGUUACUUUUGCAGAUAGGGCAGGUUUGGAGAGUGUUUUUCCCUUUAUAAAUAAAACCAUAAUUUAAACAAUACUUUUUGUAAUAUCUUUAUUAUCUUUGUCUAAAAUGCAAACAAGUUUUAUAAUCUAAAACAUGUAUCAAACAGACAAAUAUGCAACAAUAUCACACACAGACCUGUUUCAGGUGUAAAUGUAGAUAGAUGAUGUCAGCCCUGCAGUGUGUUCAUACACUCGCUGAAAAUGUUUGUAGCAGAGGAGGACGGGGUAAUACCUGGUGCCGCAGGUCACCCCAAACCAAGCUGAUCCCUCCUCCCAUGAUUCACAGCUGGAUAGGGAUCUUCUGGAUCUUCCCGCCCACUUUGCCCCUUUGAGCCCGCCCACCUCAUCUCGCUGAGCCCUCUGAGCCUGCAGCUGCUUUUAAUGAGUGGCGUGUGCGAGCCUCUCUGUUGCAGUUCUGACAUCCUUCGUUUCAGGCCUUUCGUUCUCUGCCAUCGUCGCCAGUCAGCAAGCGUCCGCCCUGUCCAUGUACCUGCCCGCACGGUGUUCCGCCAGCAGAGGGCGCUCGGUGUCUUACACAUCAGUAGCCGACACCUCGCUAGAAGAGUAGUGCAGAGCUGGCGCACCAUGUCGUUCGUGAUACCUGCUGUUUCUCUGUUUUUACAGUCCCAGAUCAACACAGCCCUGCCCUCCAGCACUAUCAGCAGCGGGAGCAGCAGAAACCCCUCAACAGCAACAUUUUACCCCACCAGGUAAAACAUAGGCUAUAUUUGCUUUGCCUUAUCGCCACCUCACAACACUGAUAUAGUAUGAUGCGAUCUCAUAUUAGAUUCUUGAUGAAUGUGUGUUGUUGUUAUUCAGCCUGGUUUAAUGUGCCCCUUUUUAACUUGAGCACCCGCCCAGUCACCGUGAGGGAGAAGCUGUGCACCUGAGACAUCGAGCUUCUGGUUGUUUCCCUGUGCCCCUACUACCUCCUCAGAGAAUUCCCACAGCUUUUCAUCAUCUUGGCCCUGACAACAUCAGCAGUGGAGUCCUGAGGCACUGUGCAGGGCAACUAGGAAGUGUGUUCCGGACUCACUGUUAGGAUCCACUGAUUUCGUCACUGAUCAACCUUCAGUCACGUAGGAGGUCAGAGCUUCAUGUUUAUGGGAUUAAUGUGCAGUUUCAUUGAAUCUGUAUUUAUCUGUAAACAGGGUUCAUACGGGUGCUUGAAAUAUGUGAUGUUUGGUGCAGUUUUCCUGUUUUGUGGGGAAGAAAGACUUUUUGAGUCAACCUAAGAUGAUUCGUUUUCAUUUUCACAUGGUCUUAGUGAGGUGAUGCAAAGUGAAACAUGCUUUCUGUUUGUUUGUUUUUUCGGCCAUGUGCUGGGAAAGCUUGAACAUGGACCUUGAAAGUGCUUAAAAAGUGCUUGAAUUCGAGCCAGAAAAAGGCGUAUGAACCCUUGAUUGGGAGGUAUAUAAUAUUAAAAUUGAAAUAUUAUAUAAUAUCAAAAACAUAUUUUUAAACAUUCUUUGAAUCAAAUGUGAAGGGCAGCUCAACACUUUUGCACAUUACUGUGUCCUGUUGAAGGAAAUACUGACAGGUGUUUGCUUCAUACAUGGAUUACAGAAGGAAAGAAAAGAGAAGAGACUUUUUAAAAAUCGGUUUCAGGUUAGAGGGUAACCGCUGUGCCGUCUGGGCUCACCAAAAUUUUUUUAGAUCAGACUGCGUAGUUGUGAACUGAGUUUUGUAACUUUGUGUUUAGCAUUAAGUGUUGUGUUGCUGAUGAAAGUCCUGCUGGCAGAAAUGACCUUCAGUCAGAAAGGUUGAUGGUCUGGAUGAAGGAUCACAAACACGUGAUUGCAGUUCCUGCUGCAGAGGGUGGAACAACCAGUUAUUAGGUUUAGGAGGCAGUUACUUUUGCAGAUAGGGCAGGUUUGGAGAGUGUUUUUCCCUUUAUAAAUAAAACCAUAAUUUAAACAAUACUUUUUGUAAUAUCUUUAUCUUUGUCUAAAAUGCAAACAAGUUUUAUAAUCUAAAACAUGUAUCAAACAGACAAAUAUGCAACAAUAUCACACAAAGACCUGUUUCAGGUGUAAAUGUAGAUAGAUGAUGUCAGCCCUGCAGUGUGAUGUCAGCCCUGCAGUGUGUUCAUACACUCGCUGAAAAUGUUUGUAGCAGAGGAGGACGGGGUAAUACCUGGUGCCGCAGGUCACCCCAAACCAAGCUGAUCCCUCCUCCCAUGAUUCACAGCUGGAUAGGGAUCUUCUGGAUCUUCCCGCCCACUUUGCCCCUUUGAGCCCGCCCACCUCAUCUCGCUGAGCCCUCUGAGCCUGCAGCUGCUUUUAAUGAGUGGCGUGUGCGAGCCUCUCUGUUGCAGUUCUGACAUCCUUCGUUUCAGGCCUUUCGUUCUCUGCCAUCGUCGCGAGUCAGCAAGUGUCCGCCCCGUCCAUGUACCCGCCCGCACGGAGAUGAGAACGGUCACACACACACUCGAGCUCAACGUAAAACAAAUGGAGAAAUGUGCUUAUGGAUGUGGAUCCAUCGAUUAUUCACUUUAUUCAGUAAUAUGUGGCCUCGUUAAUAAAGAACUGACCUGCCUAAUGUACUGCAAAGCACAUGUACAUAUAUUUCAGGAUCACUGUAACCUCAGUGGCUUGAAAUAAACUUUAUUUUGGAGUUAAAUAUUUUGAUUUUGGGCAGUUUUCUUUAGGAAACAACUUUUUCUAGUCAUUCACAUUUAUUUAACCCUUAGAUGCACACGUGGGGUCAAAAAUGACCCCAUGGGUUGUUUUUCUUCAAAAUCUUUAAAAAGCAAAGUUGUAGUAUAUUCAUAUUCCAGGUAUUCCUCAUAAAACAUGUUUGUAACAUGAGGCCAUUUGCAUUUUUAUUUAUUUUUUCAUUAAUUUAAAAAAAAUGCAGAUUUUGUAUCACUACCCCACUCUUCCACAAGUGGGGUCGAAAAUGACCCCAAGCAGUUACUAUGGAAUCUUCUAUGAAACUUUCAUUCUUAGCAACUCUGACUGACCCACUUACACUUCUGAUGGAUCAAGAAUUAAUUUUUACAUCAUGUAUGUUACUGUAUGUUACACAGUAACAUACAUGAUUUAUAGUCAGCGCUGCACAUAAGUGGUCCGCAGGUGUGCAUUCGCUGUCAAAAUUAAAGUAUUCUCGGAAAUUCAGAGAAUAUGCGCUUCUUUUGUGGUGGAGGAAUACCAAAGUAAUUGCUUACAGAGCUUGCUUAUUCGACAUCUUUAAGAGUUCUGAACAAAUGUCUGUCCUCCUCCAGAACAUCUAAUGUACGAAAACGAGCAUUCCAACUUCUUAUCUGGUACGCGUCUUUUAUUUUGACAUCGACUGUGCACCUGCGGACCAUUUAUGUGCAGCCCUGUUUAUAGUUUCCUGUGCAUUUCAAAAAUUGUCCUUUCUGAUGUUUUUUUUAAUAUUUAAAGUAACAUGGCUGAAUAUGAGGCCAGCUAGGAUCCCUGUGGACCUACAAAUGAUCCAGGACGGAUGGGAUGAAGAGCCCAUCGGAGUCACUGACUCAGAAUCUGACAUCUAAGAUAUAGAGGACCCAGACUAUUGUCCCCCCCCACUGAACAAGGCCAGUCAGAUACAGAGGAGUCCUCUGAUGAGUCCUCUGAAGAGGAAAUGGAUAUUGAGUCUAACAGAAUGAGCCCCUCUUACUGCUUUAGCCACAAUAUUCUGAAUUAGUCAGCCAGGACUUGCACCUGGGUUUAGUACUGUCUCCCCAGUAAAUGCAUGGAAGAUGUUCAUGUCUGAUAAUAUAAUAGAAGAGGUUCUGACAUGCAUAAACAUGGAGGCACGAAGAGUCGCCACAGACAGGGGAAAAGAGUGGAAAAAUGUAAUCAAACAUAAGCUCCAAGCCUUCAUUUGAUUGACCAUUCUUGCAGGAAGUGAGAAGAACUGGGAUGUACCAGUUGGUGUGUUUUUUGGGAGUCCUCUGCAUAACCCAUUGUAAAAGGCCACUAUGUCAAUUUAAAGAUAUUCGCCGUUUCUUGCACUUUGAUGACAAGAGGACCAGAGCCUACCGACUGAAAAUAAACCACAUGGCAGCUUUCUGCUACAUAUGGGGCCUGUUCCUGGUCAACUGCAGACUGCAAUUCAUCCUCAGUGAUUGUGUUACAGUGGAUGAACAACUUGUGCCUUUCAGAGGGAAGACCCAGCUUCUGCAGUAUAU